This 634-nucleotide ribosomal RNA is filed under the name Callistemon lanceolatus. RNAcentral's name for it is "eukaryotic LSU rRNA". The stretch from base 188 to 342 matches the Rfam family "5.8S ribosomal RNA". Lineage: Eukaryota; Viridiplantae; Streptophyta; Magnoliopsida; Myrtales; Myrtaceae. The record is from RNAcentral.
GGGCUUCGCUCAACGUCCCCCGACGCUUGGAUCGCGCGGGCGCCUAGUGCGCUCGGGCGUUUCUCGGCGGCAAUAACGAACCCCGGCGCGGAAUGCGCCAAGGAACUCAAACAAGAGUGCGAUGCUCCCAUCACCCCAGACAUGGUGCGUGCAUGGGAUGCCAUGCAAUCUCCUAUUUACUUAUAACGACUCUCGGCAACGGAUAUCUCGGCUCUCGCAUCGAUGAAGAACGUAGCGAACUGCGAUACUUGGUGUGAAUUGCAGAAUCCCGUGAACCAUCGAGUCUUUGAACGCAAGUUGCGCCCGUAACCAUCCGGUGAGGGCACGUUUGCCUGGGUGUCACACAUGGCGUUGCCCCUUAUCCCUCGCCUUGAAUUUGGGCGGGGAGGAAUUUGGGCGCGUAAGUUGGCCUCCCGUGACAACCUUGUCCCGGUUGGCCGAAAAUCGAGCGUCGGAGCGAUUAGCACCACGACAUUUGGUGGUUGAUUAGAAGACCCCAAUGGUCAAUGUCGUGCGUGCUCGCUCGUGCGCGCGCUCUGCGAAUCUUUUAUUUACCAACGCGACCCCAGGUCAAGCGGGGCUACCCGCUGAGUUUAAGCAUAUCAAAAGGCGGGGAGAGAAAUAAGCAUAUCAA